RNAcentral lists this unclassified non-coding RNA (269 nucleotides) under plant metagenome. RNAcentral's name for it is "partial contains small subunit ribosomal RNA and internal transcribed spacer 1". The record is from RNAcentral.
AAGUCGUAACAAGGUCUCCGUAGGGGACCCUGCGGGGGGAUCAUUUCCGAAAAAACAAUUGAGUAGUUUGGGUCCGUAAGGAUUCGAAUGAAAGAUUAAAAAAGUUGGUUGUGCUCAAAUCUAAUUUUGGUAUGAUUUUGCUGCAGAGAGGGUGUUUUUCGCAAGAGAAGUGCUUUUUUUGUAGUGAAAGAGUACCAGAAUCAAAUAUAUAAACUGUCAUCAAGGUAUCUUUAACUGAAUCCAAGAAAUAUCAAAAAUUGAUACGACAA